RNAcentral lists this small RNA (2625 nucleotides) under Rattus norvegicus (Norway rat). Its description in RNAcentral is "uncharacterized LOC102555554". The record is from RNAcentral. Lineage: Eukaryota; Metazoa; Chordata; Mammalia; Rodentia; Muridae.
GCCCGCCAGCCCCUCCUCCCUCUCUAGUCAGUGAGAUGGUGAAAUAAAUGUUCUGGAAAAAGGUUAACCCUCCCGGCUCUGGCUUGCAAACAGCGAGGAAAUUAACCCCUUAAGACUUCCCCGGCCCUAAAUGCUUGCCAGGAGCACAGAGCUAAAAAGCAUCUUUGGGUGGGUUACCAUCCUUCUCCCAACCCCCCCAGUCAGUCCUCCUGUUCCCCGGAGGCUUUUCGGAAAGCUGUGUUUUUAAUAGAGCUUUUCAGCAAGCCCAUGUGUAAGGCUUUGAGUCAUCAGAACCCGGAUGUAAACACAGCAGCCCUACAUUCUGCACAGUUUGCGUGUAUUUUAUCUUUUUAAUAAUAUUUAGCUGGCAACUUAAAACUGAAAGAAUGCCAGCUAUUUUAGCCAGCCACUUACAUCAUGCAGCCUCCGUCUUUGGGAGAGUAGUUGCCCUUCCUUGCCUUGUUUCUCAGGUCCCCGCCCCACACUGCAGGCAAUCUGGGUCCUUCUGAAGGCAUCUUGUUGCCACUUAGCAAACCCAGUCCCUUAGAACAUGACAUCAGCCUGAGCAACAAAGACAGAGGACAGGUUCCUGUCAGAGACAAGACAUUGGGUGAGUCAAGGUCCAUGAUGCCAACUCUCUGGGUGGCCUGUUUAAUGGGGAGAAAAAAUUAAAUACCCCAGCCAAGUCCUAUGGAAACCAAAGAGGGUCAACAAGCCCACUCCUACUGUAGCAUCAUAGACUUGUAGAGGACAGCCAGAGUCAGCCCCUGGGCUUCCAGGUUUCUGGGCUUCCUGGUUUCCGGACUUCCGGCAGGGCCUCAGAUGUCAGGAGCCGCAUUCCUCCCUUACCUUACAGCCUUAGGAUUCCUGGCAGUUUCCUAAGAACUCCACAGCUGGAGUACAGCUGCUUGGGGUGGAGAAAGCAGUACUCUUGGUAGGUCAGCAGGGUGAGCGAGCGAGGGCAGGGACUGUUGGAAGGUUGGGAAAGUCCUUGCCUGAGCCAGAAUCCAGGAAUGUGCUGGGGCCUCGGCUGAGAAAUCCUUCCAGAUGGGGGAGGGAAGGGGAAAGUGUCUGCCUUCUGGAUAGAUUUUUUUUUAAAAAAUCGCCCCAGGGAGGUGGACUGUUUUGAAACCGUCUUUUAGUGUGAAUGUUUAAACUGACCUGGAAACUUCCUCCCUUUUCUUUUCCUACAGUCCGAAUUUGUUUCCGAGGAGCAGUAAUCAACAAGGACAUUUGCCUCAGGGUCUCUCUUCCUUCGCCUCUUUAAAUGUUUAAAAAAAUUAUUGUUGUUGUUGUUAUCUUUAGUUCGGGGAAACUUUUGGACGCUCUCCAGGCUGCGGCUAUAGAAGUUUCCAGGAAAAUGGAAAAGCAACAUUAGUGUUUUGAACCUGUCUGGGUCAAGGGCUAGACGUGUUGGUUUUUUGCUUUUUGGUUUUUUUUUAGAAUGUCAGCAAUAAGGGCAGCCAGGUCCUGUGAGAGAGGCCAGCAAGGCAGAGGGCCUGAAGAUGCUGUCAGAAGGAUCUAAGAGCAUCCGAAAUCUCAGAGACGAACGUGGAGUUUAGCUGGCCUGCCUCUCCUGGAGCCACAGGGAACUGUGGAUUGUCACUUCAGGUGCUGGGUAUGGAGGGAGUGAGAACUUCAAGCCCAAGCCAUCGUAGAGACAGGUGGACCAGAGAUACAGUCUUGGGCAUUUGCAUUUUAGAGACUUGAAGCCCACACCAGAAGGCUACAAGUCAGUGAGCACACACACACACACACCAGGCCCCAAGGUGGCAGGGCCCACGAAAGACAGAAGAAAGGCUUGUCUUGGUUCUAUGACGAAUGCAUCAUGUACCUUGCUUCAAGGGCAAAGAGACAGAAAAAGUCAGAGAGUAAAGUCAGAACUGGGUCAGGAGGGGGAGGAAGAAUCAGGUUUUUGCAAGGCAGUUACUUCUUGCCUGCUCAGGGUUUCUCUGGAUAGUCCUGACUGUCCUGAAACUCGUUCUGUAGACCAGGCUGCCCUUGAACUCACAGAGAUCCGCCUAACUCUGCCUCCCGAGUUCUGGGAUUAAAGAUUUGCCCACCACCACCUGAACAAGUGUUCAGUUCUUACUUCUGUCUUAUAGAUGAGAACACUGAGACUCAGUGAUGAAAGAACUGGUCACUGUAGGAGUAGGCUUUGAGAUUCUCCUCCUUGCUGCCUGGAGGACGAUAGUUUUUUUUCCUGUUUGCCUUAUGAACUCUUUGGUCUUGGCUUUUUCUCCAGCACCAUGCUUACCUGGAUGCUGACGUGUCUCCUGUAUUGAUGAUACUGGACUGAACCUCUGAGCCUAUAAGCCAGCCCCAAUUAAAUGUGUGCCUUAUAAGAAUAAAAAGAAUGAUGAAGGAACUGAACUCAGAACACACAACCAGUAAGUGGUAGGCCAAGUUAAUCCUGAGUUAAUAUUGCAGACAGACCUGGGUUUGAGUCCUGAUUGGUGAGACAUGUGAUUCAGCAAGUUUUGUGCACAGCCAGCUCUUCUCAGCUGAUUUCCUAUGUUAAAUGCAUGGAGGAAUGCAGGCCAUUUCCUAUAACUAGCUGCUAGCAUUGUUACAAGUUUGCUGCAGGAAUUAAGUAGAAACGUGCUUCCAUUGGUAGAGCGGCUA